ACCUCGGUGGUGUAGUGGUAGCACAAGUCCCCUGUAUGCAUGAAACUCGGGUUCGACUCCCACCUGAGGUC
Non-coding RNA from Parelaphostrongylus tenuis, 71 nucleotides. Lineage: Eukaryota; Metazoa; Nematoda; Chromadorea; Rhabditida; Metastrongylidae. The record is from the annotation of a GenBank genome assembly.